This 81-nucleotide transfer RNA is filed under the name Candidatus Omnitrophota bacterium. RNAcentral's name for it is "Candidatus Omnitrophica bacterium tRNA-Leu". It matches the Rfam family "tRNA". From Rfam's summary of the family: Transfer RNA (tRNA) molecules are approximately 80 nucleotides in length. Lineage: Bacteria; Pseudomonadati; Candidatus Omnitrophota. The record is from RNAcentral.
GCGGAUGUGGCGGAACUGGCAGACGCGCAGGACUUAGAAUCCUGUCCUUAUGGGGUGGGAGUUCAACUCUCCCCAUCCGCA